RNAcentral lists this small RNA (450 nucleotides) under Pongo abelii (Sumatran orangutan). RNAcentral's name for it is "processed transcript". The record is from RNAcentral. Lineage: Eukaryota; Metazoa; Chordata; Mammalia; Primates; Hominidae.
GCGUGAUCUGCAUAAACACUGAGUGGCGAUUAUGUACUGGGCCCCAUGGAAUAAUAACGAGAUGGAAACGCACCCUCCUAGCCUUCAAAGAGCAAAGGCUACAGAGUUGUGGGGACAUAAGUCCCCCAUAACUUAUGAUGCAAGCCAUGCAGGCUCCUGGCAGAGUGGGGUCCCCAGGGAAGAUAGCCAGGAGGGCUAGGGGCUUAAGCUGGAGCACCCUUGGGGCAGGUGUGGCCCUGACCCAGUGAGGCCAGCCUGGCUGCGGCCACCUACCCUGUCCCAGGUGCUGCCAGACCGCGACGGAAAGCGCUGCAUGUUCUGUGUGAAGACAGCCACCCGCACGUAUGAGAUGAGCGCCUCAGACACGCGCCAGCGCCAGGAGUGGACAGCUGCCAUCCAGAUGGCGAUCCGGCUGCAGGCCGAGGGGAAGACGUCCCUGCACAAGGACCU